AGUGAACGCUGGCGGUAGGCCUAACACAUGCAAGUCGAACGGCAGCACAGUAAGAGCUUGCUCUUACGGGUGGCGAGUGGCGGACGGGUGAGGAAUACAUCGGAAUCUACUUUUUCGUGGGGGAUAACGUAGGGAAACUUACGCUAAUACCGCAUACGACCUACGGGUGAAAGCAGGGGAUCUUCGGACCUUGCGCGAUUGAAUGAGCCGAUGUCGGAUUAGCUAGUUGGCGGGGUAAAGGCCCACCAAGGCGACGAUCCGUAGCUGGUCUGAGAGGAUGAUCAGCCACACUGGAACUGAGACACGGUCCAGACUCCUACGGAAGGCAGCAGUGGGGAAUAUUGGACAAUGGGCGCAAGCCUGAUCCAGCCAUACCGCGUGGGUGAAGAAGGCCUUCGGGUUGUAAAGCCCUUUUGUUGGGAAAGAAAAGCAGCAGGUUAAUACCCCGCUGUUCUGACGGUACCCAAAGAAUAAGCACCGGCUAACUUCGU
Molecule: ribosomal RNA, 491 nt
Filed under: uncultured bacterium
Lineage: Bacteria
Description: partial 16S ribosomal RNA
Rfam family: Bacterial small subunit ribosomal RNA
Source: RNAcentral